UCUGCCUCUAUCACGGGGAUAACUACUGGAAACGGUGGCUAAUACCCGAUGUUGCAACUUGUUGUAAAAGUCUUCGGACGGAUAGAGAUGAGUCUGCGUCUGAUUAGCUUGUUGGUAAGGUAACGGCUUACCAAGGCGAUGAUCAGUAACUGGUCUGAGAGGACGAUCAGUCACACUGGAACUGAGACACGGUCCAGACUCCUACGGGAGGCAGCAGUGAGGAAUAUUGGUCAAUGGGGGCAACCCUGAACCAGCGACGCCGCGUGAGGGAUGACGGGGCUUUGCCUUGUAAACCUCUGUCAGAAGGGAAAAGAAGGUUGUUUGGCGACCUGGGCUUGUACCUUCGGAGGAAGCACCGGCUAACUACGUGCCAGCAGCCGCGGUAAUACGUAGGGUGCAAACGUUGUCCGGAAUUACUGGGUGUAAAGGGUGCACAGGCGGUUUUGUGCGUCAGAGGUUAAAUGCCACGGCUCAACUGUGGACCUGCCUUUGAUACGGCAAGACUUGAGUGGAAGAGAGGAUGAUAGAACUCCUGGUGUAGCGGUGAAAUGCGUAGAUAUCAGGAAGAAUACCAUUUGCGAAGGCGGUCAUCCGGCUUUCAACUGACGCUUAAGCACGAAAGCGUGGGUAGCGAACAGGAUUAAAUACCCUGGGUAGUCCACGCCCUAAACGAUGCAUGCUU
RNAcentral lists this ribosomal RNA (682 nucleotides) under uncultured bacterium. RNAcentral describes it as "bacterial SSU rRNA". It matches the Rfam family "Bacterial small subunit ribosomal RNA", at positions 125 to 818 of the family's 1533-position model. The record is from RNAcentral.